Molecule: long non-coding RNA, 7143 nt
Organism: Pseudopipra pipra
Lineage: Eukaryota; Metazoa; Chordata; Aves; Passeriformes; Pipridae
Exons: 4
Source: RefSeq, a predicted model, not a curated record
UGUCAGCAGCAGCAGAAGACAUUGAAAGUGGCAGCGGAGCAGUCCUGAACAGAGACAACGGUGGCUAAAAGCCAAAAGAUAGCCAGUAGCAGUGAGAUAACGUGAAGCCAGCCGAGAGACGCAGAGAUGUUCCUGCAGGAGGGAGAGCUCGCAACAAAACAGAGGAAAACUCAACAGGGCUGUUUUGGGGUAAGACUGUAUCACUUUCCCAAAACCCAGAGACCUCCUGAAGAGGAGGGGUGGACUUCCAAACCCAAAAUGCAGCAGCAGUUAUAGAGAGAGAGAGAGAGAGAGAGAGAGAGAGAAAGGAGCUGAAAAACUCAGAGUCGUCCUGAGAGCUGAACCAGGACGGAAUGCGGAGGAGGUGGCCUUGCCCUCUGCUGCUGCUGCUGCUACCAUGCUGGCAAGCUGAGACAGAGCAGAGGAGCUCUGGUAAGACUGAAAUGAAAGCUGCCUUAAAUGCUCUAACCCAAGAGAAGUGAAGGUCUCCAAGGAAAAUCCCACGAAGGCUCGGGCUCGGGGUUGGAAUUUCCGCAAAGUAAGAACAAAAAUCCUGACUGCCAUACUUAAAUCUGCUGCCUUAGAAAAAUGAAAGACACUAACCAGUGCCACAAAAAACUGAAAUGAAGGAACUGUGGCCUGAGGACUUUUCUCUUUUCUUCUUAGACUUUUAUUGAAGAAAAGGAGGAAUUUAAUUUAAUCUCUCAUUGACUGAAGGUGUCUUGCAGCUAUGACUCAUUCAAACAUAUUUUGAAAACAUGCUCAUUUUGAAUCACCAAUCAGUCAAGCCAAUAUUAAUUGAACACUGAAGGCUUUUGGCACCCUGACUACAUGUGAGCCAGAAUCUCCUCUGGGAAGUCCUUCUCCAAGGAACCACACUCACAAGAUUUCCAUGCUAUCAUUUCAUAAAAUAUGAUACUUCACUGUCUACUGGCAUGGGAAAUCUGUUCCAUGGAUAGAAGUCUCUCCAAAGUGCAACAAAAAACUUCAAACAAACCAACCAACCUAAACUAAAGACCUAUACGUAAAAUAUUCCAAGGUCUCCUAUAACCACUAUGAUAUCUGAUAAAUGUUAUGAAUGGCUAUAUAUGAACAUUUGGCACGACGAGCCCCUAUCUCGGAGAACAGCACUUUACACAGAUCAAGGCAGCAAGACAAUUCCCUUCAUUUUGUGACAAACAUGCUAUUUGGACUUCAUACACUCCCCUAAAGAAAAUAAGAAACUUUACUACCUUACCUGCCACCCCAAUGAUUCUAUACUAUACAUAUAUCCUACUAACAGAAUUUGUCCUCAUGGAUAAGAGUGUGGGUUAAACAAGCCCCUGUCCUUCCACGUACACUGCCAGCAAAUUGCAGCAGAAGUUAGAAUGGUAACAUAGUUAAAUAUUACUAGAAAUUUGUUUACUGGUCAAAUUAAAAACAUUAAAAAAAAACCAAACUGAAAAAAAACCCAAAACAAACACCGUCAUCAUAGCUACCUUUUCUUUGUCUAAAUCCCAGACUGAAAUCUGUGCUGCUUCCUUAUUCUAUCUGAAAACAUUUGAACUAAAUGGUAUAAACAAUCCCGAGAUGACUGGAAUGUAAAAUCAUCCUCUUCUUGUACCUUGACUAUCAUGGAACUUAAAAUCACCCUUUUCUUGUAUCCUAUCAGGUCCAAAAUCCAGUGGAUCCUGAAGAGGUAAUCUAGCUGAAAUACCACAUUUUUAUGUAUUUACUAUUAGAAUUCCCCAUCUGCAGCUCUCUUUGAACCCAAUCUGCGUGCUGCAGAGGUAGAAUGGUGAGGACUACCUGAAUGUAGCUGGGGCAUGGAACUAGAUGCUGCAAACUAUUUUUCUGGUCUAUGUAACUUCAGUUUAAUAGAUAAAAGAAGCUGCUUCUAAAAGUGGUCUCAGUCACACUACAAUUCAUACUCAUGUUGUCUAAAACUGAGUAAUGCUUGAUUCAUAAUCUUUCAUAAAUACUUGUUUGACAGACCAGUUGUAUACUAAGAUCACAUUUUCCAUAAAGGAUGAAAUUGCAGCUACGCAAAAAUGCUGACCACGUGGGAAAGGAGGGCCUUCAAGGGUUAGCUGCUCCAUAGUAAUCACAUAUACCUCUAAGAAGUCUUAUUACAAAUUAGCUAGACUCAGUUUUUAUUUCAUACAGGCAUUCAUGCUAGUACGGAUUUAAACUGAUCAUUUAGCCACAGCUGAACUCACAUUACAGAAUUGUGUCAAACAAAAAAUGUAACUUGACAGAGCUUUGACAAUGCUUUGAAUUGUAUUUAGCAGUUUACAUUAUGGAAUAGCAUCAAUGAAGAACUUGGCUUUCACCUACUGACAUUUUCUUCAACAUAAAACCAAAAAAAAAUGUCCGUGAUGUUAAAAACUGACACCGAUGACACUGGGGACUUCCAGAAACAUGGCAAGACAGACAAGAUAAAUUUGAGGCCUGGAGGCACUAUUACUUCAUGAAAAUGAUGCUCUGUCUCUCUGCAACUGAAAACAACACAAAGAGGAAUAAAAGUAGAAGCAGAAAAAGUGAAGAAAGUAUGUCUGUCACCCCUAAAGCACAUCUACAACCAGCCUAUGAUACACAAGUUGGUAAAGCACGUAAGUGUCAGUUGCUUUACUUUUAGAUCUCGUAUCAAUGAAAAUAGACUGCAGACAGAAAAGCAUUAUAAGUGGGAAGAUAUGAGAGAAGGCCUAGUGGAAUGGCUAACAUGUUACAAAAAGAACCCCAAAACAAACAAAACAGACAAAACAGAACUGAUCCCAAACCACCCAAGGAGCAGCUGCUCUUAGGACUUUGAUUCAUAGAGGGCAUUUAUUACACCUGAGAGAGCAGUUGAUAAUUUACUUGUCUUUCUUUUAUUCCCAGAAUUUCUGCAAUGACACCUGAAAUUUCUUCAGGCCAUCUGCCCUCUCUUUGCCUGGUGUAGUCCUACAGAACAGCCAUAGUGGGUCAACAAAUUUAACUUGUCCUUGGCAUGGACGUAUUACUAUGUUGGGAAAAUGUGCUAUUGGAAGACACAUUCAGAGCAUUACAAGGUACCACAGGUCAGUCUGCCCUAUCAUGCUUCCAAUAUGUGCAAGAGCACAGUGUAAUGGACACAAACCCCUUCAUUAAAUGACAGAAUCUUUUAAAGAGCACAUAGGAUGUCUAUGUCUCAUGCUUGUUAGGUCUCAAAACACUUGUAUUAUAGGCAUAUGCUUAACACUGAAAUGAUUUGUUUUUUAAAGAAAAAUGAUGUUUUGCUCCUGCUAAGAAGCAUAUUCCCAACGGAUAGAAAAUAUUAAAGUGACACCUCACCCAUCUUAAACAUUGUACCUUGCUAGCCUGCUGGAAGAGCCCUUGCUCUGUCCUGGAUCUGUUUUUUAAAACACUCCUUGAGAGUUAAGAACUUUAUCCUGUGACAUACAAAAUCAAAACAAGGCUCAAGCACUUAAUUUUAGGAGAUCUAUGGCUAAAGCAUUCAUCCCAGAUGGAUGUGAUUCCUUCCUAUGCUAAAGCAAGGUCCAAACCUUCCAAGAAAUAGUCCUGAGCUCAGACCACAACUGACCUUGAAAAAGGGCAUUCCUAACCUCUCUUCAGGAAUCUAAAAAUCACACACAUAUACAUACAUGGGGACAAAAUUGACAGCUUUAGCAGCAGGAAACACUUUCACCUUUAUCAGCAGAAUAAAGUGGAGAAAGAAAGGGAAUUGUAGAGAUCCCAAAAGACUGCUACCUACUCUUUUCACUUAUGGUGUGUAAUCUUCAAAAUUAGAGUGAAGAGCACACUCUUUGACCUGAAAAGCUUAAAGCAUACUUAUAAAGAUGACACCACUUGGCUUUGUGGCCCCUUAUCUCUAACAGCUCGAGACCCCCACUAAUUUAUAUAAAUAAAUGCAUUCCAACACAUGAUGACAAAAAAUAAUCACUCAGCAUUCAUUAAGGAAACUUUCAAAUUAUUACAACAGAUGAGAAUAAAAAUUCCCAACAAGACUCAAGUGCAAAGUUCUAACCUUUUGUUUAAUUAAGUAUAAAUAUGUAUAAUUAUGAGAACGCUAUCAAACAUGCCAAGAAAACCUCUAUUUUUCUGCAAUGAAAGAUUACAAAACUAGAUGAUUCACAGUUAUAUUUCUUACUUUCAAAUAUUAUGAAGCAAAAAAGGAUAGAAAGAGGUGUCUGUCUGAAAAUCUACUGCUGGAUAUUGCAUCCACUUUUAAAUUAUCUGGCUCCUGAAAUAACAUUCGAUAUUAAAAAAAAAAUCAUUUUGUUCUACUGUUGUCUUGAUAAAGGGCAAUUCCCAUAUUUCUUUUUAAACUAACGUAACUAACACGCUUUCCCAUUUCAUAAGCUGAAAAAUGCUAUUGCCUGUUCAGAGACAGACAGGCAGAAUUCAAUAGAAUCUGGCCAUAGUAAUUUAGAUGCAAUUCCUGUCUUCCUUUUCUCACCUGAACAACUGUACUGUACCUAAUAAAAUAGGUCUUAUAUUUGAAUGCACAUGAUGAAUUAGAAUCCUAGUUCUCAUCAUCUAUUCAAUCUCUUCACUCUAAAGAAACUUCAUUGCAAUUUUAGCUGCAUUAUCAGGCAGUUUAACUACAAAUUUGCCAGUUUGAAUUUUCCGUGUCUUCAAAUAAUAUCAUUCCCUCAAUCGGAAAGCAUUUCAAACAUUGUAUGCCAAGUUCCCUACCCUAAAGACAUGAAGCAUCCUUCUGAGUCUGAAGUGUAAGGAACUUCAGCCCCUUUUCUUUUUAGGUUCUUAAAAAUCUUGGUCAUAUUUGCAUCUUUCCUUGGGAUAUUUUCAAGGGUUUUUUUCUCCUCAUUUUUGUAAAAAGAAAGUAGAAACAGAGGUGUGUUCUGAGGAAUACUGCCCAGAGGCUUAACAAAAAAUGUGUCAUUAGAAUCACAGGUCAUUGGGACAAAAGGAAACACCAAGAUGGUACUCAUAGGAUGAGUAUUUUGUAGGCUGAGACUCUUGCUUUUGCUUAGAGCAGCUGAGAAAGUCUCGCUACACAGAAAAUUACAAACAGAUUUGUAUGAGUUUCGAGUUUUGUUGUGAAAAGAGACUUUACGACGGAGAAAUGUGCAGUGAACCAUAGAUUCUUUUUAUUUCUAUUUUUUCCUGACAAGUCUGCACAGCAUUCUAUAAGUAAUCUUUUCUUAGUCUUAGGCUCCCUUAUGUUACAAGUAUACAGAAUUAGGAAGAAUAAUGUUUCUAGCCAUUUCCUCAGACAAAUGAAAGCAAAAAGAAAUCCUUAAAUGCAAUGUUCUUCAACAUUGGAAAGACCACACAAAAAUAGCUAUCUGUCCUUUAGACUAUGGAAAGAUUGAAAGACCUUUUAUGUAAUACAUUCAAAACUCUCAAGAAAGGUAUCUUUCACUGUAUGAGAAAGUCACUACAGCUCCUUUUCUUUUUCUUUUGAAGUUAUUAUUAAACAAAUAUGACACAGAUCUUCCCUAUGAUCAAGGAACUGUUACACCAAUAGGCCUAUUAACCUUGCUCUAAAAAAAUAAUAUUGUGGGAAAAAAAAAUGUUUUCUCAAUUUUUACCAGAAAAGUCAUAUUAAUAGGUAUGGUUGUUGUGGCAAUAGUAAGGAUAACUUUGGCAGGUUCCAAGUUGAGCAAAUUUAUUGACUUUGCUAAGAUGAGAAUGAAUAAAACUCUGUAGAAUCUGAUCCUAUCUCUUCCCAGGAAUACCAUUAGUACAGCUUUGAUAAACACAGACAACCUUGAUUGGUACAUGAACUCACUUUCUGCAAGGAACUAGCAUAGUUAUAGCUUCAAAACAUAAUAAAAGAACUAACUCACAAGUGGAAAAGUCAAGCUAAAAUUUAAACUAAUGACUUUAGAAAGUCUCAAUGACUGACGUAUGUUUGCUAUUCUUCUUUGUGGGCCCUUAGUUACUCAUUUUUACUAAAAAGUAAUUAACUAAGAACAAUAGAAUGGUUUUUAGCCCACUAAGUUAUUUUCAGGGGAAUUUAAAUACAUUAGUUAUAAUUAGAUCUAAUGAAAUCUCUAAGAGCGCUGGGUUUAAUUGCAGAAAUUAUUCUAUUGCCUGUGACUCCUAUUUACUACAGUAUCACAAUGCACUCAAAGCAUCCUUUAUAUGCAAGCAAUCAAUUUAAAAUCAAGAUCUAAAAGAAAGUGCAAUGUUUACUUUCUCUUACCAUCCAUUGCUCUCAUAUAGUAUUAAAACACGUGUAACAAAAAAAAUAAAACAAAAUAAAAAAGACAAGAAUGAUAGUAAUAUUAAUUAUUGGAGAAAAUAAAAGAGGAUAAUAGGUUCGAGAAAGUAUGAUUUAAAUUGGACUCCCACAGAGACUGGAAAAUUAAGUCAACAGAUCUUUUUGUAACACUUCUAAGGGGUUUAGUACUAACAUUAUAUACAAGAAAUGUGGAAAUAAAUCAAAGGCUUUGCUUGCAAUAAGAAAAAAAAAUCAGAAGACAGACAGCAUUUUAUACCAAGUGAACAUCACCCAAAAGCUGAAAGAACAAGGCAAGGAAAUGAUGGUCAAGUGUUACCCCAGAGUUUAGCAUUCACUGGUGAACCACAAGAACAGGUGAUUCAGAAUAGAUGUUUACCUUGAACACUAUGAAGGACCUUUUUUUCACUGACUAGAGGAAAAGCCCAGACAGACUAGGCUUAAAAAGAUUGAGAGGGACAAUAAAUUAAAUAAGGGAUUAUUCUUCUGUAGCUUCAAGACUAAGAAAUAUGUUAGUUAUAGGAGUGGAGUUAGAAGUCAGUAGAACCAAGAAAUUUAAUUCUGAGUUUUUUGACAUACUGUGAAAGCAAUUUCUGUACCACAAUUUUGUAGGUUCUCUGUAGAAUCACCACUGUCUUCUUACUAGAGUCUGUCUUGUAAGGAUUAUUUUAGAAUUUACUCAGCAGCCAACACUUGCUUAAGAAAGGUAGCAGGAGGAAAUUUGUUUUACAUUUUUAGUCAAUGGUUCCCUCUGCUUAAGUGAUAGCUUGUUCAAAAUCCCCACAGGUCUUUUUUAAUGCAGUAUUUUAAAAGAGUAUAUAAAGUCUAAUCCAUAAUUAUCAAUCCACUCCAGGAUACCAGUCAGUACUAAAAAAAGGCUUAAUUAGAUUAUCCUAAGAGUAAUAGUGAUUUUGAUAUAAAUAUGGCAGGCAAAAAAAAAAAAAAGAAGAAAAAACAAAAGAGAAAAGGAGAAA